UGAGUAAUCUGCCCUUAACUCUGGGAUAAGCCUGGGAAACGGGGGCUAAUACCGGAUAUGACGGCUCACCGCAUGAUGUGGUUGUGGAAAGUUUUUCGGUCUGGGAUGGGCUCGCGGCCUAUCAGCUUGUUGGUGGGGUGAUGGCCUACCAAGGCGACGACGGGUAGCCGGCCUGAGAGGGCGACCGGCCACACUGGGACUGAGACACGGCCCAGACUCCUACGGGAGGCA
RNAcentral lists this ribosomal RNA (231 nucleotides) under uncultured bacterium. RNAcentral describes it as "partial 16S ribosomal RNA". It matches the Rfam family "Bacterial small subunit ribosomal RNA", at positions 118 to 350 of the family's 1533-position model. The record is from RNAcentral.